RNAcentral lists this ribosomal RNA (1374 nucleotides) under Lactiplantibacillus plantarum subsp. plantarum. RNAcentral describes it as "bacterial SSU rRNA". It matches the Rfam family "Bacterial small subunit ribosomal RNA", at positions 68 to 1431 of the family's 1533-position model. Lineage: Bacteria; Bacillati; Bacillota; Bacilli; Lactobacillales; Lactobacillaceae. The record is from RNAcentral.
UGCAUCAUGAUUUACAUUUGAGUGAGUGGCGAACUGGUGAGUAACACGUGGGAAACCUGCCCAGAAGCGGGGGAUAACACCUGGAAACAGAUGCUAAUACCGCAUAACAACUUGGACCGCAUGGUCCGAGUUUGAAAGAUGGCUUCGGCUAUCACUUUUGGAUGGUCCCGCGGCGUAUUAGCUAGAUGGUGGGGUAACGGCUCACCAUGGCAAUGAUACGUAGCCGACCUGAGAGGGUAAUCGGCCACAUUGGGACUGAGACACGGCCCAAACUCCUACGGGAGGCAGCAGUAGGGAAUCUUCCACAAUGGACGAAAGUCUGAUGGAGCAACGCCGCGUGAGUGAAGAAGGGUUUCGGCUCGUAAAACUCUGUUGUUAAAGAAGAACAUAUCUGAGAGUAACUGUUCAGGUAUUGACGGUAUUUAACCAGAAAGCCACGGCUAACUACGUGCCAGCAGCCGCGGUAAUACGUAGGUGGCAAGCGUUGUCCGGAUUUAUUGGGCGUAAAGCGAGCGCAGGCGGUUUUUUAAGUCUGAUGUGAAAGCCUUCGGCUCAACCGAAGAAGUGCAUCGGAAACUGGGAAACUUGAGUGCAGAAGAGGACAGUGGAACUCCAUGUGUAGCGGUGAAAUGCGUAGAUAUAUGGAAGAACACCAGUGGCGAAGGCGGCUGUCUGGUCUGUAACUGACGCUGAGGCUCGAAAGUAUGGGUAGCAAACAGGAUUAGAUACCCUGGUAGUCCAUACCGUAAACGAUGAAUGCUAAGUGUUGGAGGGUUUCCGCCCUUCAGUGCUGCAGCUAACGCAUUAAGCAUUCCGCCUGGGGAGUACGGCCGCAAGGCUGAAACUCAAAGGAAUUGACGGGGGCCCGCACAAGCGGUGGAGCAUGUGGUUUAAUUCGAAGCUACGCGAAGAACCUUACCAGGUCUUGACAUACUAUGCAAAUCUAAGAGAUUAGACGUUCCCUUCGGGGACAUGGAUACAGGUGGUGCAUGGUUGUCGUCAGCUCGUGUCGUGAGAUGUUGGGUUAAGUCCCGCAACGAGCGCAACCCUUAUUAUCAGUUGCCAGCAUUAAGUUGGGCACUCUGGUGAGACUGCCGGUGACAAACCGGAGGAAGGUGGGGAUGACGUCAAAUCAUCAUGCCCCUUAUGACCUGGGCUACACACGUGCUACAAUGGAUGGUACAACGAGUUGCGAACUCGCGAGAGUAAGCUAAUCUCUUAAAGCCAUUCUCAGUUCGGAUUGUAGGCUGCAACUCGCCUACAUGAAGUCGGAAUCGCUAGUAAUCGCGGAUCAGCAUGCCGCGGUGAAUACGUUCCCGGGCCUUGUACACACCGCCCGUCACACCAUGAGAGUUUGUAACACCCAAAGUCGGU